GAGCAAGCUUAAUACUUGUAUGGUCAUGUAAAAAAUGCAUGGUCAGAUCACAGAAGGGUGAAGGGAACAUUGCAGAUUAAUAGGAAGCAUCAAAAGGAACUUCGGACUGACUAAGUAGAACGAUAAAGAAAAAUAAUGACUGACAGCUGAGGCAGUGUCACCCUGGGAAAUGCUGAAAUCAGAGAGAUGUGUUUAGAAGAUGGUGAAUUGAAAGCAAUCAAACUAAGCUCCGCUACAGAGCAACAACUUACCUCCACAUGUUCCUCUAACCUCAGCGACAAAUAAGC
RNAcentral lists this unclassified non-coding RNA (287 nucleotides) under Hevea brasiliensis (rubber tree). The record is from RNAcentral. Lineage: Eukaryota; Viridiplantae; Streptophyta; Magnoliopsida; Malpighiales; Euphorbiaceae.